UUUCCUUUAUUCAAAUACUAAAAAUAAACCUGGAAUCUUAGGGAAAGGGUGCAAUUUUGCGUAUGCAGUCUCUUGACUGAUAGAAAACUGAUAUAAGUAUAUUGUAUUUAUACAAAGUGAGGUUUGAAACAUGACCAGAGGAAAUCAGAGAGAUCUUGCCCGUGCAAAAGCUGCAAAAAAACAGCAAGAUCUGCAAAAACAAAAGAAGAGUUCAGAGAAGGGUGCCAAUAAAGGAUUAACUUUAGAUGAACGCCGCCAUAGGGAUGCAGAGAUAAUGAGGCUAAAACAGGAAAAGAAAGCAGGUGGUGGGGAAGGUGGUAGUGAACAAGGUGCUACAGGAGGAAAGUAAAACAAAAGGCUGAAGUACAAGUCAUUGUGAACAACUGAUGAUAUUUUUUUUUAUUAAUCAUUUGCAUUAAUUAUCAUUUUGUCCUAGUGUUAUGAUCGUGUCAUUUGCAUGUUUAUUUUGUAUAUUCUCUCUGAAUGUACAGUAUGGUUCAGUGAAAAUUCACUGAAUGCUGGUGAUCGUGAAUGAUUCACUCUGAAAUAGAUAUUGAAACAGACAUGAAUGAUAGUAUUUUGACCUCUAUCACUUACAAUCACCUUAUUUCACUGUGAUUCACCCAACACUAGCAAGAGUUAAUUUUACAUGAGUCAUCUUGUGUGUACUGUACAAUUAUCAAACCAAAUAUACACAGAAAAAUGUCAUAUACACAUAUAUUUUUUAGAUUAAUGGUUUAAAAUUGAAAGGAAUUAGGUUUAAUUAAUAAUUCAUAUAUUCAUUAUAUUGCUUAAUCUUUUUUAGGGGGGCAUUUCUGUCUUUUGGGCUAUAAAAAUAAAGGGUAUAUCCACCCCUCCCAUCAGGUGGCAUACAUGUAGUUAUGAGCAUAUACAUUUGUAGCUAAGUUAUAUGGUAUCUUUUAAAAUUAUGUCUGAAUAAUAAGAUCUGAUUGCUAACUUUGUAAUUUUGUACAGAGGUUUUAAUGGUGCAUUUGUAAAGUUGAUGUAUUGUUAUAUGUUCUUCAUCAUCAAAUACAUAGAAUGUAGGUAAAAGUAUUACGUAAACUGUUUUUCUAAAAGUCAAUACUUUUGCAAUAGUUAAAUCGGACUGCCUAAUGCUAUGUGAUAAGGGUUUUUGUAAAACAUUUAAAUUUUUCUGAUGAUUCAGAUUUAAUGUGUUUUUAUAUGUAUGAAUAAACAUUGUCAUUAUUA
Mytilus californianus (California mussel) is the source of this 1212-nucleotide long non-coding RNA. RefSeq lists it as uncharacterized. Lineage: Eukaryota; Metazoa; Mollusca; Bivalvia; Mytilida; Mytilidae. The record is from RefSeq and is a predicted model, not a curated record. The transcript is spliced from 3 exons.